UUAAGUGACGAUAGCCUAGGAGAUACACCUGUUCCCAUGCCGAACACAGAAGUUAAGCCCUAGAACGCCGGAAGUAGUUGGGGGUUGCCCCCUGUGAGAUAUGGAAGUCGCUUAGC
This 116-nucleotide ribosomal RNA is filed under the name Peptostreptococcus sp. The record is from RNAcentral. Lineage: Bacteria; Bacillati; Bacillota; Clostridia; Peptostreptococcales; Peptostreptococcaceae. RNAcentral also lists the same sequence under 3 other names.